This 277-nucleotide ribosomal RNA is filed under the name uncultured bacterium. RNAcentral describes it as "partial 16S ribosomal RNA". It matches the Rfam family "Bacterial small subunit ribosomal RNA", at positions 30 to 307 of the family's 1533-position model. The record is from RNAcentral.
AUUGAACGCUGGCGGCAUGCUUUACACAUGCAAGUCGAACGGCAGCACGGGAGCAAUCCUGGUGGCGAGUGGCGAACGGGUGAGUAAUGCAUCGGAACGUAUCCUUGAGUGGGGGAUAACACACUGAAAGGUGUGCUAAUACCGCAUACGCCCUGAGGGGGAAAGCGGGGGAUCGCAAGACCUCGCGCUGAAGGAGCGGCCGAUGCCCGAUUAGCUAGUUGGUGAGGUAAAGGCUUACCAAGGCGACGAUCGGUAGCUGGUCUGAGAGGAUGAUCAG